RNAcentral lists this ribosomal RNA (292 nucleotides) under uncultured bacterium. RNAcentral describes it as "partial 16S ribosomal RNA". It matches the Rfam family "Bacterial small subunit ribosomal RNA", at positions 505 to 796 of the family's 1533-position model. The record is from RNAcentral.
GUGUCAGCCGCCGCGGUAAUACGAAGGGGGCUAGCGUUGUUCGGAAUUACUGGGCGUAAAGCGCACGUAGGCGGAUACUUAAGUUAGGGGUGAAAUCCCAGAGCUCAACUCUGGAACUGCCUUUAAUACUGGGUAUCUCGAGUCCGAGAGAGGUGAGUGGAAUUCCGAGUGUAGAGGUGAAAUUCGUAGAUAUUCGGAGGAACACCAGUGGCGAAGGCGGCUCACUGGCUCGGUACUGACGCUGAGGUGCGAAAGCGUGGGGAGCAAACAGGAUUAGAAACCCGCGUAGUCC